Manis pentadactyla (Chinese pangolin) is the source of this 611-nucleotide long non-coding RNA. RefSeq lists it as uncharacterized. The record is from RefSeq and is a predicted model, not a curated record. The transcript is spliced from 4 exons. NCBI's taxonomy places the organism in Eukaryota, Metazoa, Chordata, Mammalia, Pholidota, Manidae.
UCAUGGAGAGACGAUGUGACAUGGAGAGAGACCGGAAGAUGCUGCGCUGCGGACUUUGAAAGUGGAGGAAGGGGCCACGGACCAAGGAAUCAGGCAGCAUUUUGAAGCGGCCAAAGAUGAGGAAACCACGACACAGAGAGAUUAAGUAACUAUCCCAAGAUUACACAGCAAGUAUCAGAGCUGGAAUCUGAACCCAGGAAGUUUGGCCCUAGAGCCUGCUCUGUCAUCCUGUCCCCUGGUCAUUUUCCAACACAGGAAUGUAAGAAGAGUUAUGGGACAUUAGAACUCGUAGGACCCUGAGAUUUCUAGUCCAACCCUCUCCUUUUAAAGAUGAAGUUACAGCCCAGAUAAUCCCUUUCAAUCCAAUUCAGCAAAUACUGAGCACCUACAAUGUGCACAGUGGAGUUUUCCAGAAACCACAUGACAUGUGACAUGGCAAGAGACUGAAAGCAGAAGUGGAUAUAAGAACCCAGCUCUCUUCUUCUAAGACAGGCAGUAAACAGAUUUGCAAAACAUGCUGCCCUUUAAAGUCAUUUUUUUUGUUUGUUUUACAAGUUUCACUAAAACAUUGUGUUAAUAUGGGUUUAUUAUUGCUGUUUUAAAUGAAUUAA